GAGUUUGAUCAUGGCUCAGAACGAACGCUGAUGGCGUGCCUCAUACAUGCAAGUCGAGCGGGUAGCAAUACCAGCGGCGAACGGGUGAGUAACGCGUGAACAAUCUGCCUCAAAGUGGGGGAUAACCAUUCCAACGGAUGGCUAAUACCGCAUAGGGUUUGGAAGCGGCAUCGCUUCUUCACGAAAGCAUUUAUGCGCUUUGAGAUGAGUUCGCGUCCCAUUAGCUAGUUGGCGGGGUAACGGCCCACCAAGGCGACGAUGGGUAGCCGGCCUGAGAGGGUGUCCGGCCACAUUGGGACUGAGAUACGGCCCAGACUCCUACGGGAGGCAGCAGUAGGGAAUUUUGCGCAAUGGGGGAAGCCCUGACGCAGCAACGCCAUGUGUGGGAUGAAGCAUUUUCGGUGUGUAAACCACUGUCGGCAGGGAAUAAAGCCCGCGUUUACGCGGGGUGAAUGUACCUGCAGAGGAAGCCCCGGCUAACUUCGUGCCAGCCGCCGCAGUAAC
RNAcentral lists this ribosomal RNA (504 nucleotides) under uncultured Fibrobacter sp. RNAcentral's name for it is "bacterial SSU rRNA". It matches the Rfam family "Bacterial small subunit ribosomal RNA", at positions 9 to 524 of the family's 1533-position model. Lineage: Bacteria; Pseudomonadati; Fibrobacterota; Fibrobacteria; Fibrobacterales; Fibrobacteraceae. The record is from RNAcentral.